This 784-nucleotide ribosomal RNA is filed under the name Megymenum gracilicorne. RNAcentral's name for it is "SSU rRNA". It matches the Rfam family "Eukaryotic small subunit ribosomal RNA", at positions 586 to 1280 of the family's 1831-position model. The record is from RNAcentral. Lineage: Eukaryota; Metazoa; Arthropoda; Insecta; Hemiptera; Dinidoridae.
CAGCUCCAAUAGCGUAUAUUAAAGUUGUUGCGGUUAAAAAGCUCGUAGUUGGUUCUGCGUGCCACGCUGUCGGUUCACCGCCUGUCGGUGCAACUGGCAUGCCGUGGCAUGUCCUGUCGGUGGCUGACAGGCUUCGCGGCGCGCCCUAUGCGUUCAUACGUGUAGGCAGUUGCGCCGCGUCGUCCUUGUAGGCCGGCUCAAUCCUACCGCGGUGCUCUUUGCCGAGUGUCGAGGUAGGCCGACACUGUUUACUUUGAACAAAUUAGAGUGCUUCAAGCAGGCUCUGAAAGCAGCCUGAAUAGUGGUGCAUGGAAUAAUGGAACAGGACCUUGGUUCUAUUUUGUUGGUUUUCGGAAUCCAAGGUAAUGAUCAAUAAGGACAGGCGGGGGCAUUCGUAUUGCGACGUUAGAGGUGAAAUUCUUGGAUCGUCGCAAGACGCACUAGAGCGAAAGCAUCUGCCAAGUAUGUCUUAAUUGAUCAAGAACGAAAGUUAGAGGUUCGAAGGCGAUCAGAUACCGCCCUAGUUCUAACCAUAAACGAUGCCAGCCAGCGAUCCGCCGAUGUUCCUCCGAUGACUCGGCGGGGAGCUUCCCCCGGGAAACCAAAGCUUUUGGGUUCCGGGGGAAGUAUGGUUGCAAAGCUGAAACUUAAAGGAAUUGACGGAAGGGCACCACAAGGAGUGGAGCCUGCGGCUUAAUUUGACUCAACACGGGAAACCUCACCAGGCCCGGACAUUGGAAGGAUUGACAGAUCGAUAGCUCUUUCUCGAUUCAGUGGGUAGUGG